UAGGGAAUUUUCCACAAUGGGGGCAACCCUGAUGGAGCAACGCCGCGUGCAGGAUGAAGGCUUUCGGGUCGUAAACUGCUUUUAUCUGUGAAGAUUAUGACGGUAGCAGAUGAAUAAGGAUCGGCUAACUCCGUGCCAGCAGCCGCGGUCAUACGGAGGAUCCAAGCGUUAUCCGGAAUUACUGGGCGUAAAGAGUUGCGUAGGCGGUUAAGUAAGUUGGUAGUGAAAGCGUGGGGCUCAACCUCAUAUCCAUUACCAAAACUGCUUUGACUAGAGAAUGAGAGAGGUCGCUGGAAUUACUAGUGUAGGAGUGAAAUCCGUAGAUAUUAGUAGGAACACCGAUGGCGUAGGCAGGCGACUGGCUCAUUUCUGACGCUCAGGCACGAAAGCGUGGGGAGCGACCGGG
RNAcentral lists this ribosomal RNA (406 nucleotides) under uncultured bacterium. RNAcentral describes it as "bacterial SSU rRNA". It matches the Rfam family "Bacterial small subunit ribosomal RNA", at positions 355 to 776 of the family's 1533-position model. The record is from RNAcentral.